Molecule: ribosomal RNA, 814 nt
Filed under: Fusarium acutatum
Lineage: Eukaryota; Fungi; Ascomycota; Sordariomycetes; Hypocreales; Nectriaceae
Description: LSU rRNA
Rfam family: Eukaryotic large subunit ribosomal RNA
Source: RNAcentral
CCUAGUAACGGCGAGUGAAGCGGCAACAGCUCAAAUUUGAAAUCUGGCUCUCGGGCCCGAGUUGUAAUUUGUAGAGGAUACUUUUGAUGCGGUGCCUUCCGAGUUCCCUGGAACGGGACGCCAUAGAGGGUGAGAGCCCCGUCUGGUUGGAUGCCAAAUCUCUGUAAAGUUCCUUCGACGAGUCGAGUAGUUUGGGAAUGCUGCUCUAAAUGGGAGGUAUAUGUCUUCUAAAGCUAAAUACCGGCCAGAGACCGAUAGCGCACAAGUAGAGUGAUCGAAAGAUGAAAAGCACUUUGAAAAGAGAGUUAAAAAGUACGUGAAAUUGUUGAAAGGGAAGCGUUUAUGACCAGACUUGGGCUUGGUUAAUCAUCUGGGGUUCUCCCCAGUGCACUUUUCCAGUCCAGGCCAGCAUCAGUUUUCCCCGGGGGAUAAAGACUUCGGGAAUGUGGCUCUCUUCGGGGAGUGUUAUAGCCCGUUGUGUAAUACCCUGGGGGGGACUGAGGUUCGCGCAUCUGCAAGGAUGCUGGCGUAAUGGUCAUCAACGACCCGUCUUGAAACACGGACCAAGGAGUCGUCUUCGUAUGCGAGUGUUCGGGUGUCAAACCCCUACGCGUAAUGAAAGUGAACGCAGGUGAGAGCUUCGGCGCAUCAUCGACCGAUCCUGAUGUUCUCGGAUGGAUUUGAGUAAGAGCAUACGGGGCCGGACCCGAAAGAAGGUGAACUAUGCCUGUAUAGGGUGAAGCCAGAGGAAACUCUGGUGGAGGCUCGCAGCGGUUCUGACGUGCAAAUCGAUCGUCAAAUAUGGGCAUGGGGG